CGACAGACAUGGCUCUUCAAGACGGACCUCGUCUGACAGUCAAUGAUGUGGACAGACUUGUCAGGACAUCAUGCCCCACUCCCUCCAGCAAACGGGAAAAGGAAUUUAAGAUGUAUAUCGGCAGCAACAUCGACAAUUAUGAGGCUAAACAUCCCUGCUGCAUCCCCAGUACACAGCUGCACAGAUCCUGAGCAGUUCUGGCAUAAACCAAGGACACUGGAUUUCUGUGGCGAGAUCCUUAUAGGGUUCAUCAAGAGAAGGCAG
Brienomyrus brachyistius is the source of this 264-nucleotide long non-coding RNA. RefSeq lists it as uncharacterized. NCBI's taxonomy places the organism in Eukaryota, Metazoa, Chordata, Actinopteri, Osteoglossiformes, Mormyridae. The transcript is spliced from 3 exons. The record is from RefSeq and is a predicted model, not a curated record.